GAUGAACGCUGGCGGCGUGCCUAAUACAUGCAAGUCGAGCGAACAGACGAGGAGCUUGCUCCUCUGACGUUAGCGGCGGACGGGUGAGUAACACGUGGAUAACCUACCUAUAAGACUGGGAUAACUUCGGGAAACCGGAGCUAAUACCGGAUAAUAUAUUGAACCGCAUGGUUCAAUAGUGAAAGACGGUUUUGCUGUCACUUAUAGAUGGAUCCGCGCCGCAUUAGCUAGUUGGUAAGGUAACGGCUUACCAAGGCAACGAUGCGUAGCCGACCUGAGAGGGGGAUCGGCCACACUGGAAGUGAGACACGGUCCAGAGUCCUACGGGAGGCAGCAGUAGGGAAUCUUCCGCAAUGGGCGAAAGCCUGACGGAGCAACGCCGCGUGAGUGAUGAAGGUCUUCGGAUCGUAAAACUCUGUUAUUAGGGAAGAACAAAUGUGUAAGUAACUAUGCACGUCUUGACGGUACCUAAUCAGAAAGCCACGGCUAACUACGUG
Molecule: ribosomal RNA, 497 nt
Filed under: uncultured bacterium
Lineage: Bacteria
Description: partial 16S ribosomal RNA
Rfam family: Bacterial small subunit ribosomal RNA
Source: RNAcentral